RNAcentral lists this transfer RNA (85 nucleotides) under archaeon. RNAcentral describes it as "tRNA-Leu". It matches the Rfam family "tRNA". From Rfam's summary of the family: Transfer RNA (tRNA) molecules are approximately 80 nucleotides in length. Their secondary structure includes four short double-helical elements and three loops (D, anti-codon, and T loops). The record is from RNAcentral.
GUGGGAAUGCCGGAGUGGCCAAACGGGCUGGACUUAAGAUCCAGUAGCAUCUUUGCUUACGGGGGUUCGAAUCCUCCUUCCCACA